RNAcentral lists this ribosomal RNA (792 nucleotides) under uncultured bacterium. Its description in RNAcentral is "bacterial SSU rRNA". It matches the Rfam family "Bacterial small subunit ribosomal RNA", at positions 36 to 843 of the family's 1533-position model. The record is from RNAcentral.
CUGCGGCGUGCCUACCAUGUAAGUCGGGCGAUCUGUUCGCAAGAGCAGAGAGCGGCGGAAGGGUGAGUAACACGUAGGAGACCUGCCUCAUCGCAGGGAACAACCCCGCGAAAGCGGGGCUAAUACCCAAGAGGGUCGGUGGUUCGCUCCACCGGUCAGAGUGCCUGCGCAAGCGGGCGCGUGAUGAGAGGGUCCUGCGGCCCAUCAGCUAGUUGGUAGGGUAGUGGCCUACCAAGGCAACGACGGGUAGGGGGUCUGAGAGGACGAUCCCCCACACUGGAACUGAAACACGGUCCAGACGCCUACGGGUGGCAGCAGGGAGGAAUAUUGGGCAAUGGGCGAAAGCCUGACCCAGCAACGCCGCGUGGAGGACGAAGGCCUUCGGGUCGUAAACUCCUUUUGAGGGAGACGAGCAAGGACGGUAUCCCUCGAAUAAGCCACGGCUAACUACGUGCCAGCAGCCGCGGUAAAACGUAGGUGGCGAGCGUUAUCCGGAUUCAUUGGGCGUAAAGAGCUUGUAGGUGGUCUGGUAAGUUGGACGUGAAAACUCCGGGCUUAACUUGGAGAGGCCGUUCAAUACUGCGGGACUGGAGGAUGUCAGAGGGGAGUGGAAUUCCUGGUGUAGCAGUGAAAUGCGUAGAUAUCAGGAGGAACACCCGUGGCGAAGGCGGCUCCCUGGGGCAUCCCUGACACUGAGAAGCGAAAGCUAGGGGAGCAAACGGGAUUAGAAACCCCGGUAGUCCUAGCCGUAAACGAUGGGUGGCUGGGUGUGCGCGGAUCUAACCCCGCGCG